This 391-nucleotide ribosomal RNA is filed under the name Lemnia duvauceli. Its description in RNAcentral is "partial 16S ribosomal RNA". The record is from RNAcentral. Lineage: Eukaryota; Metazoa; Arthropoda; Insecta; Coleoptera; Coccinellidae.
UCAUUAGUUUUUUAAUUGAAAGCUUGUAUGAAUGGUUUGAUGAAAAAAUUUCUUUCUAUAUUUAAUUUAUUAAAAAAUUUAUUUUUAAGUUAAAAAGCUUAAAUAUUUAUAAAAGACGAGAAGACCCUAUAGAGUUUUAUAUAAAUUAAAAUUUAAUUUUUUAGAAUUUAAUAUUUUUAAAAUUUAUAUAAUUUGAUUGGGGUGAUUGAAAAAUUAAAAUAACUUUUUUUAUUUAAGAACAUUAAUUUAUGAAUAUUUGAUCCAUUAAAAUGAUUAAAAGAACAAAUUACCUUAGGGAUAACAGCGUUAUUUUUUUUUAAAGUUCUAAUCGAAAAAAAAGAUUGCGACCUCGAUGUUGGAUUAAAAUUAAUUUUAGGUGUAGAAGCUUAAA